GGGGUUGUGGCUCAGGGGUAGAGCACUUGCCUAGUAUGCAUGAGGCACUGGGUUAGAUUCUUAGCACCA
RNAcentral lists this transfer RNA (69 nucleotides) under Ictidomys tridecemlineatus (thirteen-lined ground squirrel). RNAcentral's name for it is "Spermophilus tridecemlineatus (thirteen-lined ground squirrel) tRNA". It matches the Rfam family "tRNA". Rfam says of the family: Transfer RNA (tRNA) molecules are approximately 80 nucleotides in length. Their secondary structure includes four short double-helical elements and three loops (D, anti-codon, and T loops). Further hydrogen bonds mediate the characteristic L-shaped molecular structure. tRNAs have two regions of fundamental functional importance: the anti-codon, which is responsible for specific mRNA codon recognition, and the 3' end, to which the tRNAs corresponding amino acid is attached (by aminoacyl-tRNA synthetases). tRNAs cope with the degeneracy of the genetic code in two manners: having more than one tRNA (with a specific anti-codon) for a particular amino acid; and 'wobble' base-pairing, i.e. permitting non-standard base-pairing at the 3rd anti-codon position. The record is from Rfam by way of RNAcentral. Lineage: Eukaryota; Metazoa; Chordata; Mammalia; Rodentia; Sciuridae.